RNAcentral lists this small RNA (167 nucleotides) under Citrobacter sedlakii. Its description in RNAcentral is "SraG RNA". It matches the Rfam family "SraG RNA". Rfam says of the family: This RNA was discovered in E. coli during a large scale screen. Evidence was found for specific cleavage of this RNA. Lineage: Bacteria; Pseudomonadati; Pseudomonadota; Gammaproteobacteria; Enterobacterales; Enterobacteriaceae. The record is from RNAcentral.
UGCGCAUCCUCGCGACUAAUGACAACCCUAACCCGCAUGAUAUUGGGUAAAGCCUCUCAUUAGCCGCGCGAACCUCUGCAACGGAAGAUCAUUCAUAGCAACAAUACAAUAGUUUCCCGUGAAUUGCUGCCAUCUGCUUGAAAAAAGGGGCCAUGAAGGCCCCCUUU